Eriocheir sinensis (Chinese mitten crab) is the source of this 1605-nucleotide long non-coding RNA. RefSeq lists it as uncharacterized. The record is from RefSeq and is a predicted model, not a curated record. Lineage: Eukaryota; Metazoa; Arthropoda; Malacostraca; Decapoda; Varunidae. The transcript is spliced from 3 exons.
UGAGGUCAGUUCCAAUGUUACAAGUUCCCCCUUCCUCAGCCAUUCCCUUGAGGUCAGUUCCAGCAAUGUUACAAGUUCCCCCUUCCUCAGCCAUUCCCUUGAGGUCAGUUCCAGCAAUGUUACAAGUUCCCCCUUCCUCAGCCAUUCCCUUGAGGUCAGUUCCAGCAAUGUUACAAGCUGUCCCUUCCUCGGCCAUUCCCUUGAGGUCAGUUCCAGCAAUGUUACAAGCUCCCCCUUCCUCGGCCAUUCCCUUGAGGUCAGUUCCAGCAAUGUUACAAGCUCCCCCUUCCUCGGCCAUUCCCUUGAGGUCAGUUCCAGCAAUGUUACAAGCUGUCCCUUCCUCAGCCAUUCCCUUGAGGUCAGUUCCAGCAAUGUUACAAGCUGUCCCUUCCUCAGCCAUUCCCUUGAGGUCAGUUCCAGCAAUGUUACAAGCUCCCCCUUCCUCGGCCAUUCCCUUGAGGUCAGUUCCAGCAAUGUUACAAGCUCCCCCUUCCUCAGCCAUUCCCUUGAGGUCAGUUCCAGCAAUGUUACAAGCUCCCCCUUCCUUGGCCAUUCCCUUGAGGUCAGUUCCAGCAAUGUUACAAGCUCCCCCUUCCUUGGCCAUUCCCUUGAGGUCAGUUCCAGCAAUGUUACAAGUUCCCCCUUCCUCGGCCAUUCCCUUGAGGUCAGUUCCAGCAAUGUUACAAGUUCCCCCUUCCUCAGCCAUUCCCUUGAGGUCAGUUCCAGCAAUGUUACAAGCUCCCCCUUCCUCGGCCAUUCCCUUGAGGUCAGUUCCAGCAAUGUUAUAAGCUCUCCCUUCCUUGUUUAUACUGGUCUGUGGGCCUCGGUGCCAUGAAAACCCUCACCUCACCUCGCUUUUCACAGGGCCACAGAAACUCGUCUUCCCACGCUUUCUCGCUCCCUGGGUGGUGGAGGAAGAUAUGAGGAGGCGGAACAUCACGUAAGAAAUGGCUAUGGACUGGCAAGGGGAGGGUAUCAGGUCACCUCUCCUUCCAAAACUGACCUUUCUUUCAGCCACCUGUUUUAAUUCUUUUUUGGGAGCAGCGAGUGGCGGGCUUUUUUUUAUUAUUGUUUUCUUUUUUUGUGUGUCCUUGAGUUCCCUCCUUUGUUGGGAAAGAAAAAGUGGAGGAGGUUCAUCAUAUCCCGUCCAACCAUAAGGAAUAAAUGGAUGUUAAACGAUGAUGCUGAUGAUGAUGAUGGUGAUGAUGUGUGGCUGCAGGCUCAAGUAAACAGUUUAUUCAUUAGUCUCUCCCCUUCUCGGCCAUUCCCUCCAGUGCAGUUGUUAGCAUUUCUAGUUACGAAUCUGUGGCCGAGGGUUCGAAUCCCAGCCUGGUAAGUCAAGUGUGCAACUCACCCAAAUGUUGGUCCUCCCUUUGUGUCCAGGGGUAAUUGUGCACCUGUGGACCCCUGGGUAAGGCACACUGUGGUAACCUGGGUGUCCCCGCUGCCCUGUGUCCUGGGGUGAUGGGAUCCUGCCUACCCCCCGGCGGAGAGGAUCACCCAGGACCCCAACUUUACUUUUGAACUAAAAUAAUACAAAAUCAACUCAAAUACUGCACAAUACAACUAGGUAACACACACACACCCACACACACACACACACAC